Molecule: ribosomal RNA, 220 nt
Filed under: Isochrysis galbana
Lineage: Eukaryota; Haptophyta; Isochrysidales; Isochrysidaceae
Description: partial Bacterial large subunit ribosomal RNA
Rfam family: Bacterial large subunit ribosomal RNA
Source: RNAcentral
GCGUGCCUUUUGCAUAAUGAGCCUACGAGUUACUCGUCUCUAGCAAGGUUAAUUUUUUAAAGUAGCCGAAGCGAAAGCAAGUCUGAAUAGGGCGUAUAGUUAGUAGUAGUAGACGCGAAACCGAGUGAUCUACCCAUGGGCAGGUUGAAGCUGUGGUAACACACAGUGGAGGACCGAACCAGUUGACGUUGAAAAGUCUUUGGAUGAGUUGUGGGUAGGG